This 72-nucleotide transfer RNA is filed under the name Aedes aegypti (yellow fever mosquito). It matches the Rfam family "tRNA". Rfam says of the family: Transfer RNA (tRNA) molecules are approximately 80 nucleotides in length. Their secondary structure includes four short double-helical elements and three loops (D, anti-codon, and T loops). Lineage: Eukaryota; Metazoa; Arthropoda; Insecta; Diptera; Culicidae. The record is from Rfam by way of RNAcentral.
GGCUCGGUAGCUUCAUUGGUAAAGCACUCGUCUAUCGCACAAGAGUCAUGGGUUCGAAUUCCACCUGAGCAC